GAUGAAGAACGUAGCGAAAUGCGAUACUUGGUGUGAAUUUCAGAAUCCCGUGAACCAUCGAGUUUUUGAACGCAAGUUGCGCCCGAAGCCGUUAGGCCGAGGGCACGCCUGCCUGGGUGUCACAGAUCGUUGCCCCAAUGCCAAUCGCCUCACUUUGUAGGUAUUUGCUUGGGGUGAAUGUUGGCCUCCCGUGAGCUUUGUCUCACGGUUGGUUGAAAAUCGAGUGCAUGGUGUCGGGUGUACCAUGAUGGAUGGUGGUUGAGUGAUGAUGCUCGGGACCAAUCAUGGGUAACUCCACCAGAAUUGGGCUCGGUGACCCACAUGCGUCCCUUGGAUGCUCCCUAAGGAGACCUCAGGUCAGGCGGGGCUACCCGCUGAGUUUAAGCAUAUCAAUAAGCGGAGGA
RNAcentral lists this unclassified non-coding RNA (404 nucleotides) under soil metagenome. RNAcentral's name for it is "partial contains 5.8S ribosomal RNA, internal transcribed spacer 2, and large subunit ribosomal RNA". The stretch from base 1 to 122 matches the Rfam family "5.8S ribosomal RNA", at positions 35 to 154 of the family's 154-position model. The record is from RNAcentral.